CGAAAACUCCGACCCGGAACUGCGGUGUUUUGGAAAGCGAGAGGUGGAGCGUAUCUGGUGGCGUGGAGCGUUUCUGGCGGUGAGGAACGACCUCCAGGGGUCGUUAGUGAGUUAGAGAAAUGGAGUGUCUGCAAGGUGUCUGAUGCAACCCUUCAGGAUCUUCGCUGUCCUGAGUCGCGGUUCUCUGCCGCGUGGGCGUCGAGGCCUGUCUCAGCCUAGCGUUUCUUCCCGCUGCGGCGUUGUUGGUGUUGGGUGUAUUCGCCCCACUCACCCUCGGGCAUCUUUAUGCGGUAAAGGCCAGUAGCUGCCUUUUUUCCAGCCUUGCUCUGGCUGUUUUCUUGAAAAAGAGACGACCUUGUCCCCACAGUGUAAGCCACUGGAUCCCACCCGUGGAUCCCACAGCUCUUUUGCUACUUCUGGCGCUGACCGCAGCAGACGAGAAUGCAGACACUUCCAUCCAAGGUUAUUUAUGCUAGAAGAAGAAUUCCCGUCCCAAAGCCAGUUUUUGGAGAAAAGAAGAUAUAGCCAGAGCCCCAAAAGAAGAUUACUCUGCAACUGCUAAAGGUGACUGAGCUACAGGACUUCUCCCAGGAAUGGGGCAAGCCAGGAGAUGGGAGGUUCUCACCCACCAAAUCGCUGUGGCAACUGAAAGUGCCUCCAUGGAUAUCCCCAAGGACUCCUGGGGAACAGGAUUGCCCCCCACCACUACCCAGAACCUCUGCUCAGAGACUCCUAAAAGAGGUGUAGGGCCAGUUUCUGGCUUAGGGAGGCAAAAUAAUGUCCUGGAAGCCCUCCCCAUUGGGCUCAUGCUCUGAACAGUGUGGUGAUUUCCUAGUAGUAAAACCAACCACUUCUCUCUAAAACCAUUGUCAACCUUUGGCCAUGCUGUGCCCAAAGUGAGGCUCAGAGAUUAUCCAAACUGGUUUCACACAGGAAUUACAGGGGCCCUUUAAAAAAUACAGAAAUCCAAUUCUUACCCCAGUGAGUCUCUUUACCUGGCCUGGGCAUCUAGCUACUUAAUGUGCUCUGUAAUUAGCCCACGCUCAGGACAGUGAACUUUGCUCACUGAAAUUAAAGUUAACCUUGGCCAGGAAGCUUCCUCAUUAGCACCUUCCACUUUAAUUUAUUCUCUUACUGCUUAGUUCCCUUUUCC
This 1153-nucleotide long non-coding RNA is filed under the name Cavia porcellus (domestic guinea pig). RNAcentral describes it as "lncRNA (ENSCPOG00000031111.1)". Lineage: Eukaryota; Metazoa; Chordata; Mammalia; Rodentia; Caviidae. The record is from RNAcentral.